UGGGGAAUAUUGCACAAUGGAGGGAACUCUGAUGCAGCGACGCCGCGUGAGUGAUGAAGGAAUUCGUUUCGUAAAACUCUGUUCUAUGGGAAGAAAAGGACUGUACCAUAGGAGAAAGCUCCGGCUAAAUACGUGCCAGCAGCCGCGGUAAUACGUAUGGAGCGAGCGCUGUCCGGAAUUAUUGGGCGUAAAGGGUGCGCAGGCGGCUUUACAAGUUGGAUGUGAAAUAUUGUGGCUCAACCACAAACGUGCAUCCAAAACUGCAAAGCUUAAGUUAAGGGGAGGUAAGUGUAAUUCCUGGUGUGGCGGUGGAAUGCGUGGAUAUCAGGGGGAAUACCGGUGGCAAAGGCGACUUACGGGACAUAAACUGACGCUCAGGCACGAAAGCGUGGGGAGCAAACAGG
Molecule: ribosomal RNA, 404 nt
Filed under: Fusobacteriota bacterium
Lineage: Bacteria; Fusobacteriati; Fusobacteriota
Description: Fusobacteria bacterium partial 16S ribosomal RNA
Rfam family: Bacterial small subunit ribosomal RNA
Source: RNAcentral